RNAcentral lists this unclassified non-coding RNA (28 nucleotides) under Mus musculus (house mouse). RNAcentral's name for it is "oocyte_clustered_small_RNA10314". The record is from RNAcentral. Lineage: Eukaryota; Metazoa; Chordata; Mammalia; Rodentia; Muridae.
UAUUCCAUCCACAGUAAGGCGUAAUUAA